CCUCCUCCACGUGGCUAAAGCAGCCUCAGGUCCGCUCACGGUGUUCCCGUGGCACAUUCCCUGUGGGACGGAACUGCCGGACACUGGCUUGUAGAUUGGUUGAGUAAAUAAAGCCAGCUCGCCACAAUCACGAUCACAGGCACUCUGCUGAUAACCCCCUUCUGCAACUGAAGAAGCUCAACAAAUAGAAAACGAGGAGCAGAAAGGACACUGACUAUUGGACGGAAGAAGCAUUCAACAGCUCCUUUCAAACACGAAUUUCAAAACCUCCUCAGUGAGAACAGAUUGCUGUCAGUAGCUGAAGACAGUACGCUAAUGGCCAAGUCAAUAUGAAAUUUGUCCGGAAGAUGGGAAUUUUCAGCACUUUCAGAAGGAUGAAAAC
Molecule: long non-coding RNA, 382 nt
Organism: Motacilla alba alba
Lineage: Eukaryota; Metazoa; Chordata; Aves; Passeriformes; Motacillidae
Exons: 4
Source: RefSeq, a predicted model, not a curated record